GAUUAAGUUAUUAAGGGCGCACGGUGGAUGCCUUGGCACUAGAAGCCGAUGAAGGACGUUACUAACGACGAUAUGCUUUGGGGAGCUGUAAGUAAGCUUUGAUCCAGAGAUUUCCGAAUGGGGAAACCCAGCAUGAGUUAUGUCAUGUUAUCGAUAUGUGAAUACAUAGCAUAUCAGAAGGCACACCCGGAGAACUGAAACAUCUUAGUACCCGGAGGAAGAGAAAGAAAAUUCGAUUCCCUUAGUAGCGGCGAGCGAAACGGGAAGAGCCCAAACCAACAAGCUUGCUUGUUGGGGUUGUAGGACACUCUAUACGGAGUUACAAAGGACGACAUUAGACGAAUCAUCUGGAAAGAUGAAUCAAAGAAGGUAAUAAUCCUGUAGUCGAAAAUGUUGUCUCUCUUGAGUGGAUCCUGAGUACGACGGAGCACGUGAAAUUCCGUCGGAAUCUGGGAGGACCAUCUCCUAAGGCUAAAUACUCUCUAGUGACCGAUAG
This 496-nucleotide ribosomal RNA is filed under the name Escherichia coli. Its description in RNAcentral is "partial 23S ribosomal RNA". It matches the Rfam family "Bacterial large subunit ribosomal RNA", at positions 1 to 490 of the family's 2925-position model. Lineage: Bacteria; Pseudomonadati; Pseudomonadota; Gammaproteobacteria; Enterobacterales; Enterobacteriaceae. RNAcentral also lists the same sequence under 1 other name. The record is from RNAcentral.